AAACGACUCUYGGCAAMGGAUAUCUAGGSUCUCGCAUCGAUGAAGAACGUAGCAAACUGCGAUACUUGGUGUGAAUUGCAGAAUCCCGUGAACCAUCGAGUUUUUGAACGCAAGUUGCGCCCGAAGCCAUUAGGCCGAGGGCACGUCUGCCUGGGSGUCACGCAUCGCGUCGCCCUCCCCGCCCCUYGA
Molecule: ribosomal RNA, 189 nt
Filed under: Rauvolfia verticillata
Lineage: Eukaryota; Viridiplantae; Streptophyta; Magnoliopsida; Gentianales; Apocynaceae
Description: 5.8S ribosomal RNA
Rfam family: 5.8S ribosomal RNA (bases 5-160)
About the family: 5.8S ribosomal RNA (5.8S rRNA) is a component of the large subunit of the eukaryotic ribosome.
Source: RNAcentral